This is a long non-coding RNA of Cimex lectularius (bed bug), 2645 nucleotides long. RefSeq lists it as uncharacterized. The transcript has 2 exons. The record is from RefSeq and is a predicted model, not a curated record. NCBI's taxonomy places the organism in Eukaryota, Metazoa, Arthropoda, Insecta, Hemiptera, Cimicidae.
AUUUCUCUUAAUUACCUCCAGCUAAUUUAUUUAAUUAUUAUGGCUAGUCAUGUUUUAAUUACAACUUUGAAGUGAUAAACAUGUGAGAUUUUUAUCUUGAGGUCUGUCGGGUGAUGAACCAGUAGUUUGGUCAUUUCUGGCCGUUUUGGUCUGCCUUUGAUUUCGCUUUUCAGCUCCUUGCCAUCUUCAGUAUUGGAUCUAGAAGAAGCCUAGUCUAACAGACCAAAACAACAGAAGUAGAGGCCAAAACUAUAAAAAAACUAUCAAUAUUUUUGAAUAACAAUAUUAUAACAUGCUGUGCCUUUAACCAUGUUCAAUUGUUUGACAGGUGAAAUUAAAACACAAAACAAAAGUUAUAUAUACAGAGUAUCUCUUAUUUCAAUACAACACCCAAUUCUCUCAAAAAGAAGGUUUAUAGAAAAAAAGUUUAAAUGGUGACGCCAUAAUUUUUCCCAAGGAUCUAAAAUAAGUGGUCUAAACAUUGUUUUUAAUGUGACAGUAAUAGGUAAUUGAGUUUUAUUUUUGUUUCUAGCUUUGAUACAUUUUCAAAAACUAUAUUUGUUAAUAUAAAAAAAUGACACUUGGUUGCUAUGCUGGAGUUAUUUCAAUUCAAAAACAGAUAUAUUUUAUGCUUUCAGUUUUCAAACAUAAAUAAACAUUUUGGGAGUUUAUCAUACAAGAAUAAUUAAUACCUAAAAACCAAUUUACAAUUUUUUUUUGCCUACGAUUCUGAUGACAUUCUCUGGCAUGAUUUGUCCUAUGACUGUCUCCAAUUCAAGGCAUCUAGUGCAUUCGAUGGAAAAUACAUGACGGUUACAAAACUUCUAUCUACCCCAUCCUGCUGAGUUACGAGCAGAAAAUGAGUGACAAAGUAGUCGACUUCUCUGUGUUCCUCUCAGAUCAGUGGGUUGCCGAACCGGCCAAGCUGUCCAUCUCCUGCGUGUGUCAGAGUCAGCUUUCCUUUCAUUUACAUGAGUUUUCCUUUUGGCCAUUUUUCUUAGCGUGCCAAGUGUAACCAUGUAGUCAUUGAUUUAUUUUCUAUCCAGAGCUUUCUGCCCAGAAACUGUUCUGUAGUAGCUUGCUAUUCUUAAGGCUCCCCUCUGUUGGACAGCAGCCAUUUGUUUUCGGUAUUUAUCUAUUUUUAGUGCUUUGGCCGCAAUACGCAACUAAUCUAAUUUAUUGUGUCAUUUCUUAUUGAAAAAUAAAAUUAAUAUACAAUUACUGUGUGACAGAAAUGUUUAGACCAGUUAUUUUAGAUCCUUGGGAAAAAUGAUGGGGUUUACCAUUUAAACUUUUUUUUUUCUAAACCCUUUGUUUUAGAAAAAUGUGGGUGUUGCAUUGAAAUAGACAGCUUAUACAGGGUGCAUACUCUCCCCAUCUGGAAAACUGAAAUUUUGCGUUUAUCGUCAGAAGACAAUGCUCAGUGUAGAGAUUGCUUCAGGAGUCUUUCAAUUCUCCAUGAGAUACGACUUCUUAAGCAUAGUCGAAUGCUUAUAUAUGGAUAAUUGUUCACUUUCAUUGCCUUCACUGCCUGGUCUAAUUUCCCGCCCUAGCUUCAUCAACAAGCAGAAAGUUUCUUCUAGCAAGGAUGAUAGUUUCUAUGUGGGUAGUGUUUCCCUAUAGGUCUUGGAAAAUAUUGUCUUUGGAAGAUAAAACACCUUGAAACACGCUUAAUGAUUUGAUACACCCAGAGUGAUAUUCCCUCCUCACCCUAAAAAGCAUAUCUAUAAUGACAUUAAAUUGCAUGAUAGAAAGUACAUUAACCAGUUUAUAUAUGCAUCACGUUUAGGUACCCAUUUUCUUAACCCAGGAUAUGAGACUUGUGUUUAGCGAUGAAAGUGAAUGGAAUUUCACUUCCCUUCAGACAUAAACAGAGGCGAGCACUAGAAAAAGGAAAGGAUUCAAAUUAAAUUUUCAAGACUGAUAGAGAUAAAUGCAUUUCUGUUGUCGUCAGUAUUAAUUAAAUCAGACUAAGGUGUUUUUGUCUCCUUUAAAAGUUUUUUUUUUUUUGAUAUGUUUGUAAUUUGAGGAUACAACUUACAAUUGUGCAGUUGUGUUUUUUUUUAUGCACAUCAUUUGCAUAAGUGAAUAAAACGACUGAGAAAUUGUUCUAAAAUUAAAAGAUUUAAUCUGAUAUUGACGUCCAGAUUGACUAAAUUAUUUUAUUUUUAUCUUAAAAAUUGUGUUUAUUUUUGUACACAAAAUAUUACAAGUAAAUACUUAGGAAUCUGUACGUUUGUAUGAUACUGUUAAAUAGUUAUUUUAAAAUAAGUGUUGUACUAUUUGAAGGGAACAAAAUCAAGACAGAAAUUUUCCAUAGGAAUAAAGAUUUCAUAUUAAACUUUUUUAACGUUUUAUUUCACAAUUGACGUAGACAAUUAUUUUGUACUUGUAUUGAAAAACUUAAUAUCAAUGACUUAUUAAAAUUCUUUUAAUUUAUUAGAUGUGUAAUAUAGUUGUUAUAAGAUCUCAGUUAAUAUUGUACAUAAAUUUUGAAACGAUUUAGUUUUAAAUGUGUAAUUAAAUAUAUAUUUUUGAACUAGAAAUGUUACCUUGCCAUAAAAAAUUUUUUAAAUGUAAUAUAUUGUUUUAUUGGUUGUUCUGUUUAUAUUAAAAAGUUUAAUAAUUAAUAAAUUUGUGAUACU